RNAcentral lists this ribosomal RNA (380 nucleotides) under Scytodes sp. 40 YFL-2022a. RNAcentral's name for it is "partial large subunit ribosomal RNA". The record is from RNAcentral. Lineage: Eukaryota; Metazoa; Arthropoda; Arachnida; Araneae; Scytodidae.
GUACUAAGGUAGCAUAAUCACUAGCCUCAUAAUUGGAGGAUUGCAUAAACGAAAUAACGAACUAAUAAUAACUCCACAAGAACAAUAAACAAACUAAUAUUGAAGUAAAAAAGCUUCACAACAAAAGAAAGACGACAAGACCCCAACGAACUUUCAAUACUUAUAUUAAGCUGGGGCAGCUAAACAAAUAAACCUUAAUUCACAACAAAAAUAAAUCUAUUUCAAAUAAACCCAAAACAAGUUACCGUGGGGAUAACAGCAUAAUACAGUGCAGAAGAACUAAUUCAACACUAAAAUUAUGACCUCGAUGUUGAAUUAUCUCCCCCUAAUAAGAAAAAUUAUUAACCCCAGGUCUGUUCGACCAUAAAGAGAUACAUGAU